GAUGAACGCUGGCGGCGUGCCUAAUACAUGCAAGUCGAACGCUUCACUUCGGUGAAGAGUGGCGAACGGGUGAGUAAUACAUAAGUAACCUGGCAUCUACAGGGGGAUAACUGAUGGAAACGUCAGCUAAGACCGCAUAGGUGUAGAGAUCGCAUGAACUCUAUAUGAAAAGUGCUACGGGACAGGUAGAUGAUGGACUUAUGGCGCAUUAGCUGGUUGGUAGGGUAACGGCCUACCAAGGCGACGAUGCGUAGCCGACCUGAGAGGGUGACCGGCCACACUGGGACUGAGACACGGCCCAGACUCCUACGGGAGGCAGCAGUAGGGAAUUUUCGGCAAUGGGGGAAACCCUGACCGAGCAACGCCGCGUGAAGGAAGAAGUAAUUCGUUAUGUAAACUUCUGUCAUAGAGGAAGAACGGUGGAUAUAGGGAAUGAUAUCCAAGUGACGGUACUCUAUAAGAAAGCCACGGCUAACUACGUGCCAGCAGCCGCCGCGG
RNAcentral lists this ribosomal RNA (498 nucleotides) under uncultured bacterium. Its description in RNAcentral is "partial 16S ribosomal RNA". It matches the Rfam family "Bacterial small subunit ribosomal RNA", at positions 28 to 523 of the family's 1533-position model. The record is from RNAcentral.